UUACACAUGCAAGUCGAACGGCAGCAUGAUCUAGCUUGCUAGAUUGAUGGCGAGUGGCGAACGGGUGAGUAAUACAUCGGAACGUGCCCUGUAGUGGGGGAUAACUAGUCGAAAGAUUAGCUAAUACCGCAUACGACCUGAGGGUGAAAGUGGGGGACCGCAAGGCCUCAUGCUAUAGGAGCGGCCGAUGUCUGAUUAGCUAGUUGGUGAGGUAAAGGCUCACCAAGGCGACGAUCAGUAGCUGGUCUGAGAGGACGAUCAGCCACACUGGGACUGAGACACGGCCCAGACUCCUACGGGAGGCAGCAGUGGGGAAUUUUGGACAAUGGGGGCAACCCUGAUCCAGCAAUGCCGCGUGUGUGAAGAAGGCCUUCGGGUUGUAAAGCACUUUUGUCCGGAAAGAAAUCGCACUUACUAAUAUUAGGUGUGGAUGACGGUACCGGAAGAGUAAGGACCGGCUAACUACGUGCCAGCGGCCGCGGUAAUACGUAGGGUCCAAGCGUUAAUCGGAAUUACUGGGCGUAAAGCGUGCGCAGGCGGUUGUGCAAGACCGAUGUGAAAUCCCCGGGCUUAACCUGGGAAUUGCAUUGGUGACUGCACGGCUAGAGUGUGUCAGAGGGGGGUAGAAUUCCACGUGUAGCAGUGAAAUGCGUAGAGAUGUGGAGGAAUACCGAUGGCGAACGCAGCCCCCUGGGAUNACACUGACGCUCAUGCACGAAAGCGUGGGNAGCAAACAGGAUUAGAUACCUGGUAGUGCACGCCCUAAACGAUGUCAACUAGUUGUUGGGGAUUCAUUUCCUUAGUAACGUAGCUAACGCGUGAAGUUGACCGCCUGGGGAGUACGGUCGCAAGAUUAAAACUCAAAGGAAUUGACGGGGACCCGCACAAGCGGUGGAUGAUGUGGAUUAAUUCGAUGCAACGCGAAAAACCUUACCUACCCUUGACAUGCCACUAACGAAGCAGAGAUGCAUUAGGUGCUCGAAAGAGAAAGUGGACACAGGUGCUGCAUGGCUGUCGUCAGCUCGUGUCGUGAGAUGUUGGGUUAAGUCCCGCAACGAGCGCAACCCUUGUCUCUAGUUGCUACGAAAGGGCACUCUAGAGAGACUGCCGGUGACAAACCGGAGGAAGGUGGGGAUGACGUCAAGUCCUCAUGGCCCUUAUGGGUAGGGCUUCACACGUCAUACAAUGGUGCAUACAGAGGGUUGCCAAGCCGCGAGGUGGAGCUAAUCCCAGAAAAUGCAUCGUAGUCCGGAUCGUAGUCUGCAACUCGACUACGUGAAGCUGGAAUCGCUAGUAAUCGCGGAUCAGCAUGCCGCGGUGAAUACGUUCCCGGGUCUUGUACACACCGCCCGUCACACCAUGGGAGUGGGUUUUGCCAGAAGUAGUUAGCCUAACCGCAAGGGGGGCGAUUACCACGGCAGGGUUCAUGACUGGGGUGAA
This 1440-nucleotide ribosomal RNA is filed under the name uncultured Ralstonia sp. Its description in RNAcentral is "bacterial SSU rRNA". It matches the Rfam family "Bacterial small subunit ribosomal RNA". Lineage: Bacteria; Pseudomonadati; Pseudomonadota; Betaproteobacteria; Burkholderiales; Burkholderiaceae. The record is from RNAcentral.